This 746-nucleotide ribosomal RNA is filed under the name uncultured bacterium. RNAcentral describes it as "bacterial SSU rRNA". It matches the Rfam family "Bacterial small subunit ribosomal RNA", at positions 8 to 749 of the family's 1533-position model. The record is from RNAcentral.
AGAGUUUGAUCCUGGCUCAGGACGAACGCUGGCGGCGUGCCUAAUACAUGCAAGUCGAACGGUCUUUUCUAUGGAAGCUUGCUUCCGCUGAGAAGAUAGUGGCGAACGGGUGAGUAACACGUGGGUAACCUGCCCAUAAGAGGGGGAUAACAUCCGGAAACGGGUGCUAAUACCGCAUAGUUUUCUUGAUCGCAUGAUCGGGAAAGGAAAGACGGCCUUUGUGCUGUCGCUUAUGGAUGGACCCGCGGCGUAUUAGAUAGUUGGUGAGGUAAUGGCUCACCAAGUCAGCGAUCGGUAGCCGGACUGAGAGGUUGACCGGCCACAUUGGGACUGAGACACGGCCCAGACUCCUACGGGAGGCAGCAGUGGGGAAUAUUGCGCAAUGGGGGAAACCCUGACGCAGCAACGCCGCGUGAAGGAAGAAGGUCUUCGGAUUGUAAACUUUUGUCUUAUGGGAAGAAAAAAAUGACGGUACCAUAGGAGGAAGCCACGGCUAACUACGUGCCAGCAGCCGCGGUAAUACGUAGGUGGCAAGCGUUGUCCGGAAUUACUGGGUGUAAAGGGCGUGUAGGCGGGGCCUUAAGUCAGAUGUGAAAUCUCCGGGCUUAACUCGGAAAUUGCAUUUGAAACUAAGGCUCUUGAGUGGUGGAGAGGAAAGCGGAAUUCCUAGUGUAGCGGUGAAAUGCGUAGAUAUUAGGAGGAACACCAGUGGCGAAGGCGGCUUUCUGGACACUAACUGACGCUGA